Marmota monax (woodchuck) is the source of this 72-nucleotide non-coding RNA. The record is from the annotation of a RefSeq genome assembly. Lineage: Eukaryota; Metazoa; Chordata; Mammalia; Rodentia; Sciuridae.
GGGUGUAGCUCAGUGGUAGAGUGUGUGCCUAGCAUGCACAAGACCCUGGGUUCGAUUCCCAGCACGAAAUCA